GACGAACGCUGGCGGCGUGCCUAACACAUGCAAGUCGAACGGAAAGGCGCUGCUUUUGUGGGGUGCUCGAGUGGCGAACGGGGGAGUAACACGUGAGUAACCUGCACUUGACUUUGGGAUAACUUCAGGAAACUGGGGCUAAUACCGGAUAGGAUCUCCUGCUGCAUGGGGGGCGUUGGAAAGUUUCGGCGGUUCGGGCUGGACUCGCGGGUUAUCCGCUUGUUGGGCGGGUAGUGGCUUACCAAGCCUGCGAGGGGUAGCCGGCCUGAGAGGGUGACCGGGCACAAUGGGACUGAGAUACGGCGCAGACUCCUACGGGAGGCAGCAGUGGGGAAUAUGGCGCAAUGGGCGGACGCCUGAUGCAGCAACGCCGCGUGCGGGAUGACGUCCUUCGGGUUGUAAACCGCUUUCGCCUGAGACGAAGCGUGAGUGACGGUAAUGGGUAAAGAAGCACCGGCUAACUACGUG
RNAcentral lists this ribosomal RNA (468 nucleotides) under uncultured bacterium. RNAcentral describes it as "partial 16S ribosomal RNA". It matches the Rfam family "Bacterial small subunit ribosomal RNA", at positions 28 to 507 of the family's 1533-position model. The record is from RNAcentral.